Molecule: ribosomal RNA, 2899 nt
Filed under: Klebsiella pneumoniae subsp. rhinoscleromatis
Lineage: Bacteria; Pseudomonadati; Pseudomonadota; Gammaproteobacteria; Enterobacterales; Enterobacteriaceae
Description: bacterial LSU rRNA
Rfam family: Bacterial large subunit ribosomal RNA
Source: RNAcentral
UUAAGCGACUAAGCGUACACGGUGGAUGCCCUGGCAGUCAGAGGCGAUGAAGGACGUGCUAAUCUGCGAAAAGCGUCGGUAAGGUGAUAUGAACCGUUAUAACCGGCGAUGUCCGAAUGGGGAAACCCAGUGCAAUUCGUUGCACUAUCGUUAACUGAAUACAUAGGUUAGCGAGGCGAACCGGGGGAACUGAAACAUCUAAGUACCCCGAGGAAAAGAAAUCAACCGAGAUUCCCCCAGUAGCGGCGAGCGAACGGGGAGCAGCCCAGAGUCUGAAUCAGCUUGUGUGUUAGUGGAACGGUCUGGAAAGUCCGACGGUACAGGGUGAUAGUCCCGUACACCAAAAUGCACAGGUUGUGAACUCGAAGAGUAGGGCGGGACACGUGGUAUCCUGUCUGAAUAUGGGGGGACCAUCCUCCAAGGCUAAAUACUCCUGACUGACCGAUAGUGAACCAGUACCGUGAGGGAAAGGCGAAAAGAACCCCGGCGAGGGGAGUGAAAAAGAACCUGAAACCGUGUACGUACAAGCAGUGGGAGCACCUUCGGGUGUGACUGCGUACCUUUUGUAUAAUGGGUCAGCGACUUAUAUUCUGUAGCAAGGUUAACCGUAUAGGGGAGCCGCAGGGAAACCGAGUCUUAACUGGGCGUUAAGUUGCAGGGUAUAGACCCGAAACCCGGUGAUCUAGCCAUGGGCAGGUUGAAGGUUGGGUAACACUAACUGGAGGACCGAACCGACUAAUGUUGAAAAAUUAGCGGAUGACUUGUGGCUGGGGGUGAAAGGCCAAUCAAACCGGGAGAUAGCUGGUUCUCCCCGAAAGCUAUUUAGGUAGCGCCUCGUGAACUCAUCUUCGGGGGUAGAGCACUGUUUCGGCUAGGGGUCAUCCCGACUUACCAACCCGAUGCAAACUACGAAUACCGAAGAAUGUUAUCACGGGAGACACACGGCGGGUGCUAACGUCCGUCGUGAAGAGGGAAACAACCCAGACCGCCAGCUAAGGUCCCAAAGUCAUGGUUAAGUGGGAAACGAUGUGGGAAGGCACAGACAGCCAGGAUGUUGGCUUAGAAGCAGCCAUCAUUUAAAGAAAGCGUAAUAGCUCACUGGUCGAGUCGGCCUGCGCGGAAGAUGUAACGGGGCUAAACCAUGCACCGAAGCUGCGGCAGCGACACUAUGUGUUGUUGGGUAGGGGAGCGUUCUGUAAGCCUGCGAAGGUGACCUGUGAGGGUUGCUGGAGGUAUCAGAAGUGCGAAUGCUGACAUAAGUAACGAUAAAGCGGGUGAAAAGCCCGCUCGCCGGAAGACCAAGGGUUCCUGUCCAACGUUAAUCGGGGCAGGGUGAGUCGACCCCUAAGGCGAGGCCGAAAGGCGUAGUCGAUGGGAAACAGGUUAAUAUUCCUGUACUUGGUGUUACUGCGAAGGGGGGACGGAGAAGGCUAUGUUAGCCGGGCGACGGUUGUCCCGGUUUAAGCAUGUAGGCUGGUUGUCCAGGCAAAUCCGGAUAAUCAAGGCUGAGGUGUGAUGACGAGGCACUACGGUGCUGAAGUAACAAAUGCCCUGCUUCCAGGAAAAGCCUCUAAGCAUCAGGUAACAUUAAAUCGUACCCCAAACCGACACAGGUGGUCAGGUAGAGAAUACCAAGGCGCUUGAGAGAACUCGGGUGAAGGAACUAGGCAAAAUGGUGCCGUAACUUCGGGAGAAGGCACGCUGGUGUGUAGGUGAAGCCCCUGCGGGUGGAGCUGAGACCAGUCGAAGAUACCAGCUGGCUGCAACUGUUUAUUAAAAACACAGCACUGUGCAAACACGAAAGUGGACGUAUACGGUGUGACGCCUGCCCGGUGCCGGAAGGUUAAUUGAUGGGGUUAUCCGUAAGGAGAAGCUCUUGAUCGAAGCCCCGGUAAACGGCGGCCGUAACUAUAACGGUCCUAAGGUAGCGAAAUUCCUUGUCGGGUAAGUUCCGACCUGCACGAAUGGCGUAAUGAUGGCCAGGCUGUCUCCACCCGAGACUCAGUGAAAUUGAACUCGCUGUGAAGAUGCAGUGUACCCGCGGCAAGACGGAAAGACCCCGUGAACCUUUACUAUAGCUUGACACUGAACAUUGAGCCUUGAUGUGUAGGAUAGGUGGGAGGCUUUGAAGCGUGGACGCCAGUCUGCGUGGAGCCAACCUUGAAAUACCACCCUUUAAUGUUUGAUGUUCUAACGUUGGCCCCUUACCGGGGUUGCGGACAGUGUCUGGUGGGUAGUUUGACUGGGGCGGUCUCCUCCCAAAGCGUAACGGAGGAGCACGAAGGUUAGCUAAUCCUGGUCGGACAUCAGGAGGUUAGUGCAAUGGCAUAAGCUAGCUUGACUGCGAGCGUGACGGCGCGAGCAGGUGCGAAAGCAGGUCAUAGUGAUCCGGUGGUUCUGAAUGGAAGGGCCAUCGCUCAACGGAUAAAAGGUACUCCGGGGAUAACAGGCUGAUACCGCCCAAGAGUUCAUAUCGACGGCGGUGUUUGGCACCUCGAUGUCGGCUCAUCACAUCCUGGGGCUGAAGUAGGUCCCAAGGGUAUGGCUGUUCGCCAUUUAAAGUGGUACGCGAGCUGGGUUUAGAACGUCGUGAGACAGUUCGGUCCCUAUCUGCCGUGGGCGCUGGAGAAUUGAGGGGGGCUGCUCCUAGUACGAGAGGACCGGAGUGGACGCAUCACUGGUGUUCGGGUUGUCAUGCCAAUGGCACUGCCCGGUAGCUAAAUGCGGAAGAGAUAAGUGCUGAAAGCAUCUAAGCACGAAACUUGCCCCGAGAUGAGUUCUCCCUGAGACUUUAAGUCUCCUGAAGGAACGUUGAAGACGACGACGUUGAUAGGCCGGGUGUGUAAGCGCAGCGAUGCGUUGAGCUAACCGGUACUAAUGAACCGUGAGGCUUAACCUU